AUUGAACGCUGGCGGCAGGCCUAACACAUGCAAGUCGAGCGGAUGAAGGGAGCUUGCUCCUGGAUUCAGCGGCGGACGGGUGAGUAAUGCCUAGGAAUCUGCCUGGUAGUGGGGAUAACGUCCGGAAACGGGCGCUAAUACCGCAUACGUCCUGAGGGAGAAAGUGGGGGAUCUUCGGACCUCACGCUAUCAGAUGAGCCUAGGUCGGAUUAGCUAGUUGGUGGGGUAAAGGCCUACCAAGGCGACGAUCCGUAACUGGUCUGAGAGGAUGAUCAGUCACACUGGAACUGAGACACGGUCCAGACUCCUACGGGAGGCAGCAGUGGGGAAUAUUGGACAAUGGGCGAAAGCCUGAUCUAGCCAUGCCGCGUGUGUGAAGAAGGUCUUCGGAUUGUAAAGCACUUUAAGUUGGGAGGAAGGGCAGUAAGUUAAUACCUUGCUGUUUUGACGUUACCAACAGAAUAAGCACCGGCUAACUUCGUG
RNAcentral lists this ribosomal RNA (483 nucleotides) under uncultured bacterium. RNAcentral's name for it is "partial 16S ribosomal RNA". It matches the Rfam family "Bacterial small subunit ribosomal RNA", at positions 30 to 507 of the family's 1533-position model. The record is from RNAcentral.